AAAUGCGGCCAUUUUUGGCGUUUAAUUUGUUAUAUUUUACAUUUGAAUAUCAAAUUUCUUUCAACUUUAAUCAUUUCAGCCAAGAAGAAAUGAGGCUUUCUGACACGAUGAACGGAACGCAGUAGAACUUGGACAAUUAGCAGUAAAAUCCUACUACGAUGCGCUGCCAUCAUUCAAAUUUAUGCACAAAAAAAACAUAAAACAAUCCCAUACAAUACAAAUUCCAUCAUUAACUAUAUAUGCAUUUUCAAUUGGUUGAUUGAUUCAAAAGUACACAAAUAAAAUUAAUUACAGUUAAUGGCAGCCACUCGACUCCUCAA
Molecule: long non-coding RNA, 320 nt
Organism: Drosophila miranda
Lineage: Eukaryota; Metazoa; Arthropoda; Insecta; Diptera; Drosophilidae
Exons: 3
Source: RefSeq, a predicted model, not a curated record